Gadus chalcogrammus (walleye pollock) is the source of this 1988-nucleotide long non-coding RNA. RefSeq lists it as uncharacterized. Lineage: Eukaryota; Metazoa; Chordata; Actinopteri; Gadiformes; Gadidae. The record is from RefSeq and is a predicted model, not a curated record. The transcript is spliced from 3 exons.
ACUUUGCUUGAUUAUUCCCUUGUGGACAAUUGUAUGCAUUAAUUCAAUCAAAAUAUUUGCUAGAGUGUAGCAAAAAUAUAGAAUUUUUGUCAUGCAAGCAAGAAGUUCUAUUAUUUAGUUUUUUGCAAAUGCAUUUUAGAAUCCUUAAACUUAGACGACGUACAGAAAUGACUGCAUCCUACAGAAAUGUUAAUGACAUCACAUCGUCAGCAUUGAAGUUGCUUUCUUCAAUCGCUGUCCACCACUGUGAGGUUCCUACCUGUUGACGUUUUGAGGGUUUCUUCAGUAACCACCUAAAAACAUGAGGUGGGAUCACGGGUUAGAACCUAUAUAUAUAUAUAUAUAUAUAUAGAGAGAGAGAGAUGUGAUUUGGUUUGUGUUUUACUUACAGGACAAAGAUGAUCAGACCAAUAAAGAAGACGGUACCAAAGAAUCCACCAAUUAUCAGAUGAACUUUCGAAUCUAUAGGACAUAAAACAUGGUAGAUCACUGGGGCAUUAUCAUAUCUAUUUAGAGAUUGUAGGGAUAUGUUUGGGAUGUGUGUUAUAGUAAAGUAUUUUAUAGGGUCUAUGGGUAGAAGUUGAUAUACCGACGCUUUCACCGCUGAUAGUUAGCUUAAUCUCUUUUGAUGUUUGGUUUCCCAAGGGAUUCGUGGCCACGCAGUAGUAGAUUUCACUGUAGCAGGACACAUUGAAGCUGUACAAAGGUCCAUCCGACACGUUCAGGGGUCCCUCCGCACUGCUCCUGAACCAGGUGAACCGGAGAACGGGGGGGUUGGCUCUGCUGGUGCACAUCAGGUUGACCACACUGCCCAGCGACACCGUGGUCAACGUCAGGUUGACCACACUGCCCAGCACCAACGCCUGGGUAUCCUUCGGGGAAUCUACAGGAACACAAGAUAAGUCUUCAAUUUCAAGCUAUGGUUCCGGUGCUGACGGAUUUGAAUGCAGUAUGUAAACGCUUUGCGCUUCUCAGCCGUCCCGGCUCACUGAUUGGACCGUCUGCUGGUCACUCACAGGAAACGUUGAGCGUCACGACGCUCUCUGCUCUUCUGACACUGAGCCCGCCUGCUGGGGCGUUUACCGGAUACUCCACCAGACAGGUGAGGCGGACCCCGUCAUGUCGGUCCGACAGAGUGAUAUUUAGCCGCCGGGUCCUGACGUUAGGCUCUUGGUCUCCGUGCGGUUCCAGCCGACCCUCAGGGCCUCCUGACUGGUUCCAGCUCAGGACAGAGAUGAUCAGACCAAUAAAGAAGACGAUACCGAUUAAGAAUCUCACUAUCAGAGGGACAUUCAAUCCUGUAGGGGACAAAUCAUGGGAUUCGUGGCCACACAGUAGUAGAUGUCUCUGUAGCUGGACACAUUGAAGCUGUACAAAGAUCCAUCUGACACGUUCAGGGGUCCCUCCGCACUGCUCCUGAACCAGGUGAACCGGAGAACGGGGGGGUUGGCUCUGCUGGUGCACGUCAGGUUGACCACACUGCCCAGCGACACCGUGGGGGGACUGAUGGAGGCCUGGGUAUCCUUCGGGGAAUCUACAGGAACACAAGAUAAGUCUUCAAUUUCAAACUAGUUCCGCUGUUGACGGAUUUGAAUGCAGUAUGUAAACGCUUUCCGCUUCUCAGCCGCACCGGCUCACUCAUCGGACCGUCUGCCGGUCACUCACAGGAAACGUUGAGCGUCACGACGCUCUCUGCUGUUCUGUUGCUGGGCCCGCCUGCUGGGUCGUUCACCGGAUACUCCACCAGACAGGUGAUGCGGACCCCGUCAUGUCGGUCCGACAGAGUGAUAUUCAGCCGCCGGGUCCUGACGUUAGGCUCUUGGUCUCCGUGCGGUUCCGGCCGGCCCUCAGGGCCUCCUGACUGGUUCCAGCUCAGGUGAGGCGGCUGGGUGGGACAGGGUGCGAUGGCCCUGCAGGUGAACGUUACCCUGCUCCCCUCCGUUAGUGGUCCCUCCAGGAGGGUCUGUAUGGAGGGUGCUGGGGCUGAA